This is a long non-coding RNA of Bufo bufo (common toad), 1330 nucleotides long. RefSeq lists it as uncharacterized. The record is from RefSeq and is a predicted model, not a curated record. NCBI's taxonomy places the organism in Eukaryota, Metazoa, Chordata, Amphibia, Anura, Bufonidae. The transcript has 4 exons.
GAAAUCCACAUCAAGAAGCGAUCUGUCUCUGUGUGGAAACCACUCCUGGGUAGUCACAUGCAGAUUAACCCAACUCAGUUUAGGGUCCACUGCUAUAAUUACCCAAGCUACAAAUCCAUGGUGUCAGGCUUGGAUUUUUGCCACGGAUUCCAAGGCAAAUCCGUAUUGUAAAUGACAUGGCUAUAGCCUUACUGCUUUCCUAACUCUGCGCAGACAGAAAACCAUCGGCAAAUGAGCACUUCUGAGCACGAGCACUGUGGAAGAAGUGGUUAAAGUGCAACAGAAGAACAAUCCAUAUUAUACAAGGUUUGCUUCUGCAGCGAUGCCGAAAACUAAGAACAAAAUAAUUGAGCCCCUAGAUGAAAUUGCAAACAAGGGAGAAUAAUAGUUGACCCUUCAAACCAGAGGAAUCCACUGCGAAUGAUGAUGGAAAUGUUGAAAAUACAACCCGCUACCAGCAACAGUUAUGUGGAUUUCUGUUUCAGAUUUCGAGAAAAGGGACCUGACAGCUUCUUACGAGGAGAAGACAUUGUGUAGUUCUGCAGGAAAACACUGAAUUAAUGACUAUGGUGGGAGCCUCAUUAUGGACAAUGAGCAGAUUGAUGGUUUAUGUUGUCGAAGCAGUAAUGUUUUCCCACAAAAACACUUUUAACUGUUUUAUGACCAGGUUCACAGGUAGAAUUUAAAGUGGUUUUCCAGCCCCUUUCUCCUACCCAAUCUGACAUCAGAUAGAAAGAGGCACUGCUAACUGCCCGAUCAGACAUUGCCAAGAAGCCAGUUCAACGUGAAGCAGGUAUUGCAUGAUACUUACUGAACAUUGUCAGCUGUCCCAACACAUCCCCACUGUAACAAUGAAGAAUUGGACUUAACCCAUAGCAGUCACCUUUCCAUGUACUGACAGUGUUGCGUGAUACUAGAUACCCCUAGACGUCUAGUAGAGCUGAAUUGAACAUAACAUAUAUGAAGCUAGUAUCAACACUGGAAGACAACAAAGUACUGAAAUAAACUCAUCGAUAGAUGGCAAGAACUGAACAACGAUAUCCACAGAUGAAGGAGAUUGUAGCCCGGCAGUGGUAUACAGCUUGAUUGUGGACGAAUGACCGUGAACAGAAAUGAAGCCAUUCUGAACUGACCAUGCUCUGAAUACCACCAAGGAGCAUAGCCAAGACAAGUCAACAGCUCAGCAACAGUCAAAGCUCAUAGGACUACAGAUCCCGGAAUAAACAGAUAACGCAUUAGACUACAACAAGAUGCAAAAAAUCUGGAAAGAAAUACAUAUAGCGUACACUAUUCCCAGCAAUAAAAAUGACAUAAGGACUGGACAAAUAAA